Molecule: ribosomal RNA, 253 nt
Filed under: uncultured bacterium
Lineage: Bacteria
Description: partial 16S ribosomal RNA
Rfam family: Bacterial small subunit ribosomal RNA
Source: RNAcentral
UACAGAGGUCCCAAGCGUUGUUCGGAUUCACUGGGCGUAAAGGGUGCGUAGGUGGCCAGGUAAGUUCGGUGUGAAAGCUCGGAGCUUAACUCCGAAAUGUCAUUGAAUACUAUCUGGCUUGAGGGUCGGAGGGGAGACUGGAAUUCUCGGUGUAGCAGUGAAAUGCGCAGAUAUCAGGAGGAACACCUAUUGCGAAGGCAGCUCGCUGGGACGGUACUGACGCUGAGACGCGAAAGCGUGGGGAGCAAACAGG